GAUGAACGCUAGCUACAGGCUUAACACAUGCAAGUCGAGGGGUAGCAGGGUAGCAAUACCGCUGACGACCGGCGCACGGGUGAGUAACACGUAUCCAACCUUCCCAUAACUCGGGGAUAGCCUUUCGAAAGAAAGAUUAAUACCCGAUAGUACUUUUUUGUAGGCAUCUUGAGAAAGUUAAAGAUUUAUUGGUUAUGGAUGGGGAGUGCGUUCCAUUAGAUUGUUGGUGAGGUAACGGCUCACCAAGUCUUCGAUGGAUAGGGGUUCGUGAGAGGAAGGUCCCCCACCAUUGGUACUGAGACACGGACCAAACUCCUACGGGAGGCAGCAGUGAGGAAUAUUGGUCAAUGGGCGAGAGCCUGAACCAGCCAAGUAGCGUGAAGGAUGAAGGUCCUAUGGAUUGUAAACUUCUUUUAUAGUAGAAUAAAGUGAUCCACGUGUGGAUUUUUGUAUGUAUACUAUGAAUAAGGAUCGGCUAACUCCGUGCCAGCAGCCGCGGUAAAACGUCUA
Molecule: ribosomal RNA, 510 nt
Filed under: uncultured bacterium
Lineage: Bacteria
Description: bacterial SSU rRNA
Rfam family: Bacterial small subunit ribosomal RNA
Source: RNAcentral